UACGGGGGGAGCAAGCGUUGUUCGGAUUUACUGGGCGUAAAGGGCGCGUAGGCGGUCGUGACAAGUCACUUGUGAAAUCUCCGGGCUUAACUCGGAACGGUCAAGUGAUACUGUCGGACUAGAGUACAGAAGGGGCAACUGGAAUUCUCGGUGUAGCGGUGAAAUGCGUAGAUAUCGAGAGGAACACCAGCGGCGAAGGCGGCAUCCUGGACUGGUCCUGACACUCAUGAGCGAAAGCGUGGGGAGCGAUCCGG
This 254-nucleotide ribosomal RNA is filed under the name uncultured bacterium. RNAcentral describes it as "partial 16S ribosomal RNA". It matches the Rfam family "Bacterial small subunit ribosomal RNA", at positions 524 to 776 of the family's 1533-position model. The record is from RNAcentral.